RNAcentral lists this ribosomal RNA (253 nucleotides) under uncultured bacterium. Its description in RNAcentral is "partial 16S ribosomal RNA". It matches the Rfam family "Bacterial small subunit ribosomal RNA", at positions 524 to 776 of the family's 1533-position model. The record is from RNAcentral.
UACGGAGGGUGCAAGCAUUAAUCGGAUUUAUUGGGCGUAAAGGGCGCGUAGGCGGAAAGAAAAGUCAGAUGUGAAAUCCCGGGGCUUAACCUCGGACCCGCAUUUGAAACUCUCUUUCUCGAGGGUAGAUGGCGAAAACGGAAUUCCACGUGUAGCGGUGAAAUGCGUAGAUAUGUGGAAGAACAUCUGUGGCGAAGGCGGUUUUCGAAUUUAUUCCUGACGCUGAUGCGCGAAAGUAAGGGGAUCAAACAGG